Pistacia vera is the source of this 674-nucleotide long non-coding RNA. RefSeq lists it as uncharacterized. Lineage: Eukaryota; Viridiplantae; Streptophyta; Magnoliopsida; Sapindales; Anacardiaceae. The transcript has 2 exons. The record is from RefSeq and is a predicted model, not a curated record.
UGACCAAUUCACAUUUGAAAUAAGUUCUUUGUGUUAAGGACAAACUUUUGGGCCAAAAAUAUUAAUGCAUGUUUUCAGGCCAUAGUCAUCUCAGCCCACAUUUACUUCAAAUCAAUUCAAAGUCCAUUAGAGAGAGUCAUGCUUCAUAAAUACCAGUAGUGAGGCACAGUUCAGUAGACCAUCUUCAUACACAAAUUUGUACUGAUAAUAUUUUUAGUAAGUUAGUAACUAGAGUCGGAACAAUUGAGAUAUACGAGUGCAUAAUUACAACGUAAAAUCCCAGUUCUUCUUGUUGCAGCAGCGUGGUAUAAGACAAAAUGAACAAAAAAUUUGGAGGAUCGCAGCCCACAGGGACUCCGUCACUGGCUUGGUCCUGCGUUGUGGUUAUCGUCUCACUUCUUGCUGGUGCUUCCGUCGUCCACAACAUCUACAAGCCUGAUCUUACACUACCUCCGCUGGAGAAAGAUGAUGGAACUAACAAGAAAGAACCUGAGAAACCAUGAAAAUCUCUGUUGGCUUUUCACUUUUAUUAGUUGAAUAUUAGAAUGUUUAUCUGGGUUCCUCUAGCUGAAUACUUUUGUUUGAAUAUUUGAGAACUAAAUCAUUUCGAAAUACGAGGGAACACUGAUGUUGCACUGCAAUUUUUCAUUGAUACGAUGAACAUUCAUUUGUUA